Molecule: long non-coding RNA, 4321 nt
Organism: Empidonax traillii (willow flycatcher)
Lineage: Eukaryota; Metazoa; Chordata; Aves; Passeriformes; Tyrannidae
Exons: 3
Source: RefSeq, a predicted model, not a curated record
UUUUUGUUUACCCGCUUUUUGUUAUUCUAAUGUAAGUUCAGAUAUACAAAAUGCUAAUUUUCUUUUACAUAAAAAUGUAAUAAAACUUUCUGGCUUUCUUUAUAAACAAAUUUCAGCAGGAAUGUUGAUGGGAUGCUGUAUACCAAGUAAAGAAGAAAUACUGUUUAAUUAUCUUCCAUAUAAAAUCCAAUAAAACGUUCUGGCUUUUCUUAUUUUUCUGUACUGGGGAUUAACAUCAGUGUCUUUGUGAUGAGAAAUCUGCAUUCAUGGCUCCUCUAUUUAGAUUUAAAUAGGAAUUAUAGUUCUUGGCAGAAAGGGAUCUGUCAAAUAUCACAGCAUUUGUGGCAGGUGGUCACUGCAUUGCUUAGUACAGACACUGCCUGCUUAACCAUAGCCUGAAGUAAACAUCAAAAGUCAAUUAUUCUCUUUGUAAAUAUUUUAUUUAUAUUUUGGAGGCUAACAAACAUCUUUUCAGUGCUUGGCUGAGACCUUCCUCCACAGAUCAUAAUCCUACUGAACCUGCAUUUGGGUGGUUAAGAAUGUGUUUAGCAAUCCAGGGAUACCAGCUUAGCUACCACUGUAUACUGGGUUUCAUAACCCAAUUCUCUGCUUCAAAACCUUUAAUGACUUGGCUGGGUUGAAGUGGACAGAGCUAAAACUUGUCAUGGUUGUUACCACUGCAGCUGCCAAUUAGUGCGACAACCAUGUAUUACUUUGCCUUUCCUCAGUUAAACUGUAUUUUGAAUAUAAAUAAUGAGAAAGAAAAAAAAAACAAACAGGAUCCAUUUCCUUGGAUUUAACACUUUGGGGGUGGGAAAAGCAGGAGGUCUGGUUUUAACAGCAAGAUAAGCAUGUACAUAGCGGCCCUGCAGUGGCAACUUGAAUGCACAUUGAGUAGCAAAUAUGGAACAAGAGCUGAACUCUGAGGGUCAAAUGCCUUGAAGAAAUGUCUUGUUGCAGGGUGAACCUACUAAAAUAAAAUGACAGUAUCUGGCAAGUUAUGCAUACAUGGCAGAAUCUCUCCUCAAACCACUAUGGUGUGGAAAACGUCUAAAGAUGCUGCAACACAUUUUAGAUCCUUAUUUGAACUCUGUCUGAACUCUUCGGACCAUUAACUAAUCAGAUCAUCUCAUUUAAACAAUGUUAUAAAAAUAAUCAAAUACUUCUGCCUGCAUAAAUAUACUUUGAAUAUAUUUACCUUAAAGAACCGGGAUUUCUUGGGUGUUUACUCCUGACAUUCUGGAAACAGAAGGAGCACAAAAUGUUAAGGAGGAGCAGAAUUCUCUGAGAUGGGGCUCUGGGUAAUUUUCCCUGUAAGCCUGUUUGGUGGCAAGUUAAUUGACUCCCACAUUACCGAAACUGCAGCGUACUAAAGCACUGGGUGCUCGUUUUGCUGCACUAUUUGACUGGCAAAGGCCAUCUGUUCUAUCCCAUCCAUCCACAUACACAGCGUCUAUUGUUGUCAACAGGAUUCACAUACACGUGGAUCAAGGCAAGCAUGUGCCUCAAACUGUUUUGAUCCCUAGAACAUGGAUUUUUCAUUUUCUUUGUUUCUUUGUGCUCACCCAGUAAUAAUACUUGUCAUCUGAGAAUUCAUAUUGAUCUUGUCAUUGCCUUAAAAUUGGAUGACAAUUACUAUCUCUGUCAAAAUUCGAUCUGAUGAAAUGGCUCCAAUUAGGAAGGAAAAAGAAGGAAUCCAUCACAGUGGGGAGCACUGCAUUUGGCUUUAGAGUAGGAAAGCUUAUCUUAAAGGGGAACUGUUGGAAGAAGCAAAUGGGAACAAGCUUGACAGAUAUUAGGGCACCAGUCUCAAAAUCCAUAGAAAUUCAGUAUACAUAUGAAAUGAAUAGCCAUUUAAUAUUUGCAGUCCGUAUCUGUCUGCAAUCUGAGUUGAAGCUCCUCUGACAAUAAAUGCCAGUAACUGUUGUUUUCAUUUUCUGAUCUGGUCAGACACACAGUGGCAGUUGACGCCAGGCUUCCUACAUUUUCAAAUCCAGUUCUGAUCACCAGUGUAAUUAUAAUACAUUAUCAAGAGUAGAUUUGCUGAAGUUUGUGAAAUGAUAAAAGCAUAAAUUACAUCUUUUUUCCAGAUACUGAUCUUACCUUGAAACUAAAUGGGAAGAUGCAGUGAAAGAAUUGAAAACAAAAGAGCAAGUGCACUUCCAUUACUACUGAUAUUGACACUAAAGCAAAUAACUUAUCCCUGCCAAUUACAAAUAAAAUUGUGCUAAUUACAGAUUUUUUGGUUUAUAAAUCAGCCCUGAAAAAUUAGUGUGUGCAUUUAUGUGUGUGUAGGGGUGGGGAAAUCUUUUUCAAAACCAAAGAUGUUUGUUUCAUAUAAAGUUAAUGUUUUAUUCAACUGAAAAAACCUGACACUGUUCUGUUUCUGAGGUCAGGUCCACCUGUAAUUCCGUGUAGGUCUUACCUGGGAGCAGACAGAAGGAUGCUCAGCCCUCCUCAAAGGACUGGAAGUCUCCGCCCACCCAGCAGAAUCAUCUCAGCUGAAGGCCAUUCGUGCAUUGGUUUCUCUGAAUCGGCCCAGUAAAUGCUGUUUCUUCACAAAUAAAAGUAUGGCAGGAACUGGCUUUUCAAUUUGUACAAUUAUUGAGCUUCUGAACAUGAGACUGCACAGUUUACAUCCCUGGAAAAUCAUGUUUUCUUAACUAUAUGGAAGAGCUCCUCAAGACACUGAGGGAACCCAACCAAGCACACUAUGCCUUUAGCAGGUGGUGACUUCCCAAGCUAAAAAUGUAGGAUCCGUGUGAUGCAGAGAUGAGUCACCACACCUCACACAGCAAUAGGCUCUUUGGUGAAAGAAAAGUGGGUGAGCUGGUGCUUGCAGGUCUUCCUCUAGCAAGCUGGGUAGACAUGAUUUCCUUUUCACCAAAUCUUUCUCCCCCCACCUCUGUUUUCAUUAGCAAAAAACCUGCUUACUGACUCUGACCUACAUUUGCAAUAGCUCCAGAAUGCAACACAACUGUGUUUCUGGGGAAUUUGCUAUUUGCUAAAAAUUUUAAUCCAAGCCAUUUUGAAAUGUUAUAUGUUAACUGAGCAAACACAGCAAUCAGAAAAGUACACAAACCCCAAGCAAUUGUCCUGGACUUGUUUACAACACACUGCUAUUAAUGAGCAUCUGGGAUGAGUAUGGGAUCUUGUACUAUGGAUCUCAUGAUCUGUACAAUAAUGGCUGAUUUUAAUUGACUUUUGCUUCAUAUAGCAAAUCCCAAUUGGAGAAGUUCCAGGAUGCUGCUAGUGAAGAACUGUGGGCGGGUGCAUGUUUUGAAGUGAUGGUAAACAUUGUGACAUAUACUGUGUGUACCACAUAUUCUCAUAUGCACAUUUUGACUUUUGUUGCCUUGGCUUUCACACAGCAUUUCUAACAUAGACAUUCCUAUUUGCCAGUUUGAGUGGAAAUCUGUUAAUAUGUGAAUACUGCUCGCCAGCAUGUACCAGCAUGGCUGGACUCUCAGUCCCACAGAACACGCAGCCCUGCGUGCUCAGAGGGGCUCCACAGGACUGCGGCAUCUGUGCGAGCAAGACUGGCAGAGCUGUGCAAAUGAGGAGUGAUGAGAGCUGCUAUGAGAAACCAUAACUUUGAGAACAUGCAACUCAGCUCAGUAUGAUCCACUAAUUCCCAAUGAAGCCAUCUGUGAUGGUAACUAAAAUGGGAACGGAACAGGAUUCACUUUGGAGCGCCCGUCACAAGUGCUCCCCUCCGGCGCGUGCUGCCAGCAGCAGCAUCUCUCCCAAGAUCAUUCCCAAGAUGAUUUGUAGGAGCCUGCCUGGCCAUGUUCCUGUGUGAUAAACCUGGUGAGCAACCUACUCAUGUGAGGCCAGAGAGCAUCCAGGAUUCCCCAAAGGAGGCAGAGGAAUCCCUGCAGAGCUCCUCAUGUGUCCCCACAGGGCAGGACUCAAGAUUUGGGAAAAACCUUCCAUGCCUUUGUUAACUCACCCACAAAAUGAGCAGACUGGUGCAGUGGAGCCCCUCUCUGACACAGCCAACUCUUGUCCCAGCCAGGUGAGGCUGUGCCAGGCAGGGCAGCCUGGCAAUCCUGAGACAUAACAGGAAGCUGUACCUCCCCAAGAUGGCCUGGAAGUUCCAGGUAAUCACAGUAUGGAGCAUAAUGUGGAUUUAUACUUGUUACUUUACUUUUCUAUGGUACCUCCCAAGAGUCUUCUGAGGCAUUCCAUUCUUUAAUAAGCUGAAAGUGCUCCGAGAUUUUUCUAAUGAAAAUGAUAUAGGAGCACACAGUGUUAUUAUUAAAACCUUUCUUUUUCUCUAGGAACUGCUAAAAUACAUUUACAGUUUAUAUCCUUUUUG